GCCUCAUCUACAUAGAAGUCGCCCUGUCCGUGAUGUCACCGACAGUGCCUUGCCCAGUCCCCGUCUGCCUUUCUGCCACUCAACCGACCAAUCUGCUGCCAGAGCCGCCAAGGGGAAGUGACGUCUGCCUCUCCCUUUUUCCCUCCCGCCCCUGCGUCUGUUCUCUCCCAAAGAAGCUGGUCCUUAGCCUGUGUUAAGGAGCAACCUUUCGGUGGCCAGAUGGAGCCGGGGCAUCCUUCUUCAAAUAAUGGCUUUUAAUUCGCAGACUAGAAUGUUUCGGAUUACAAAAGAAACCGGUUCUCUUCACAUCCUUAUCCUUGUGAUGCAGCAUUCCGCUUGCAAUUGGAAGCCGUUUAAUAUCAGAGAGAAACCAUAUUUAUGAAAGUAAAGAGGCUGCUUAGAUGACUGCAAACCAGCCGUCCUUACUGGUUUUAUCACUGGUAAUGUUAUAAAGACAGUUGUCCAGUUUCAUGAAUCUUGUAGGUUUUUUUUUUUUUGAUGUUGUUUUUUUUUUCAAAAAUCCGUAUUGUAGAAAAAUAUGCUGUCCCAGAAGAGAUGAUUGGACACUCUCAAGCGUGGUGCUGGACUUUGUCAUCUCUUGCACAGCCAUCUCCACACCUUAGUGCUUACCUCAUGUUAGUUUUUUAUAUUCUGCAAAGACGAAACCAAAAUAAUCCAAAUUUGACACAAAUACCUGGGCUACAUCUUAUUUGAGAUGUUUAACAAAUGUCUGGAUCAUCUUUUCUUAUAUAUUACGCAGGAAACACUGUGAAGUAAGCAAAGUUGGAAUGCCCAAGUGAAAGACCAUUUGAAUAUUUACAAGUAGAUUUCAGACAGGAAUACUACAGGGUGGUCACAGGAUAACAAAUUCUAGGCAGCAGAUUUACAUGACUUGAGGCUGUGGGCUGUUAAGACGCUGAAAAACCAGGGUGUGGACCAAGCUGGCUAAGGCUGAGUGGACCCAACGUGGUGCUGGAUUGGAUGGAGGUUUUACCUAGGCCCUCAUUAUAUGCUCAUUAACAUACUAAAUCACACACCCGCCAGUGCCAUGACAGUUCUGAGACCAGUGUUUGAUGUAAAAAUGGCACCACAGUUCCAAGAAAUCUCCACCUUUACCCAGGAAUUUUCGUGAAUAUUCCAAUUCUUGGUUAAAGAAACCCAUCAAGAUGAAACCCCAGAACCCAUUAUUCUCUCUUGGGUAUGCCCAAGCUCCCCUUUCUUGAGUGUGUACUUUUUGCUUUGCAAUAAAUCUCUUCUUUCACUAUCUGCUGACUCAUCUUUGACUUUGUUCUCACGAUGGUGUCAAGAGCCUGGACACCACGGCUGGGGUCGAGAUCCCACCAGUGUCCAGGGACCUCCCCCAGCCCACCAGUAUCAGAUUCUAUUCCAUUGCUCAAAUCACAAAACAUCGAGUGGAGAGUUCUCCUUGGAGAUCAUAAAGUAAAGAUUCUGUGGCAUGGUGGCCAGUUAGGCCACUGGAAGCAUGGCAAAAUAUUGAAAAUGAGGGAUUAGGUGACAGUGUAGUAACUGCUGAAUACUAAAUACUUGAUCCAGGCCCCAUUCCCUGGAGAUUGACAGGGAGACACAUUGUCCAGGUAGUAGUGGAGAAAUGUUUUCUGGGUAUCUGACCAGCCUUUGUGGAAAGAACUGGCACCAUCCUGCAGAUGUAACCGCCUGAUGGGUUCUUCCUGACCAAUGUACACAAAAACUCAAUUCAUGGAGACCAUGGCACUGCAGGAAACGGUUUCAUUGACACAGGCCAGCCACGACAUGUGGGAGACAGAGUUAUUACUCAAAGCAAUCUCACUGAAGGCUUGGAGGUAACAACUAAUGUUGGAAUUAUGAAAAGCUCUUCUCUACUUUUAACAAAGCUUAGUCACAAACAGUUCCCCAGUUGAUGAGAAAAACUAAAACAACAGAACAAUUGAAAGUCCGAAUCUGCAAGUUCAUCUCUGAGAACCGAAUUUUACAGCCACUCCAGAUUUGUACUCCAAAUGGAUAGUUUGAUUGUAGAAAUCACUUCCCUUCAGUCUGCCAAUGUGAUAACUGCCCAAGAGAAAGUGAUGCCUACAUUCGUAGAUAAUCCCCUUUCCCCCAUCCUAUAUAUAACUGGAGUCAACAGUAGCUGGAGGAAAAUGGCAAGAACUUGGAAUCAAGAUUAGGUUAGAAUAACACUGCUGUAGACAGUUUAUCAGCUCUUCAGCAUAUGUCCAUUUUCCUUGAAGGAUGAGCCUUUAGAAACCUCUGACAAUAAAGUUUAUUUUACAUCCAUUCCCUUGCCUAUGAUUUUUUCAUACAAAUCACAAUUAUAAAACUUUCUUGCUCCAGCUAAAAGCAAGAAACUCAAUCAUGAAUGUGUUCACUAAAUAUAUACCACAGAAUGAUAGCAACCAGUCUGAAUGCAUCACUUGAUUCCAAAAUUAAAUGUUAGCCCUCAGUGGUGCAACUACAUGUAUCUCCAACUCUGGAAGCCACAGGCAACAUAUUCCUGUUUCCUUGCAGGGAAACAGAUCUAUAAGCAGGGCGGCAGUCUCACACAUGUACAUUCCUGGGAAACCCAAGGAAACAAUGAUAGUGACGCAGGGCAGGCAAGCCCCCAAACUGAAAGAGUUUUGCUAAUGUCGCGAUUGGCUUUCUAUGUUAUUUGAAGACUGAGAUCUCCAUGAGGAAUGAAGACAGGUAAUGCCUAAGGCUGAGGCAUGACCUCACUGGGUCACCUUAGCUGUGAAGUGAGGUCAGUUGUCACCUUGCAAACCUUUUGGUAAUCCAAAUCUUGGAAUGAUUUCUUUAAGAAUUUAGACACUUCCAGUACUUUUCCUGUCCUUGUGGGGAAAGCUUCUAUCCACCUGGUGAAAGUGUCUAUAAAUACUAGCAAAUCUUGUAGUUCCCUGUAAGGUGGCAUCUGGGUUAAGUCUGUCUGCCAGUCUUCACCAUGGUAUGUUCCUUGGUGUUGUACAGGUUUAAGCAGGGAUCGGGGUAUGGGGUGGCUUCCUGAGUGGUAACCCUUUUUAUAGUUUAGAACAGUCCCUUCCCGAAGAAUAUUUAGGAAACUAAUUUGAAUGGAAAAUCCCGUCCCAAAUGUGAGGAAUCAUGAAAAUGUUUAAUUAUUUCCCAUCUGUCAGCCUCAGGAAUAGAGUUUGUUCUUUUGUAGCAACCAUCCAGAGGGGUCUCCCUGGAAGCCUUUUACUCAGUCCCUUUAAUUUCCUUAGGGGUAUAGUAUGGUGUCACUGACACGGAUGCAGUACCUGGUAGUAGCGCAGCAGCUUGAAAUACCAGGGUUUCCUUAGUUGUGGCCUUAGCUGCUCUUUCCACCAGGGAAUUUCCUCUAAUAAUAAAAGUGUCUCCCUUCUGGUGUCCCCUGCAGUGAGUAAUUGUUAUUUCUUUGGGAGUUGGACAGCAUCUAAAAGUUCCAAGAUCUGAGUAAAGUCGUAUGGGGGAUCCCUUGGCUCUUGAUAGUCCCCUUUCCUUCCCUAUGGCUGCAUGAGCAUGGAGCACCAGGAACCCAUAUUUAGAGUCAGUCAACACAUUGACUCUUGAGGGUUCAUCCUCCCCGCAGGCAACUGGAGAUGUAUUGUCCCCAGAGGGUACAAUAGAGAAUCUUCCGUCACAAGUCAGCAACCAGCAUAUGUGAGUGACAGCAUGUGUCCCACUCAGAAAUGAGAGUGUAUUAGUCCGUUUUCAUGCUGCUGACAAAUACAUAACAGAGUCCAGGACCAAAAAGAGGUUUAAUUGGACUUACAUUUCCAUAUGACUGGGGAGGCCUCAGAAUCAUGGCGGGAGGCAAAAGGCACUUCUUACAAGGCAGCAGCAAGAGAAAAUGAGGAAGAAGCCAAAGCAGAAACCCCUGAGAAACCCAUCAGAUAGUGAGACUUACUGGCUAUCAGGAGAAUAGCACAGGAAAGACCCGCCCCCAUGAUUCAAUUACCUCCUCCUAAGUCCCUCCCACAACACAUGGGAAUUCUGGGAGAUACAAUUCAAGUUGAGAUUUGGGUGAGGGCACGGCCAAACCAUGUCAGAAAGGGAUGAAGUGACAGCAUAUCCUGAUGUGUGUGAUGGUUUCAUGAGUUAUUAUCUAUUUCAAAAUUUAUUGCAAUGUGUGGAAAAGAACAAGGACUUGUACUAUCUGACUUUAAGGUUUACUAUAAGCUAU
This 4150-nucleotide long non-coding RNA is filed under the name Homo sapiens (human). Its description in RNAcentral is "HSALNT0290469". The record is from RNAcentral. Lineage: Eukaryota; Metazoa; Chordata; Mammalia; Primates; Hominidae.